GUAAGUCUUAAAGGAGAAAAAAUGAUUAGAAAGGUAUUCAAAUUUUUUGCUGUAAGUCCAGUUUAAUGGCUGUGUUGAAAUUAUAUAAAGACAAUAUCUAGUUUGAGGUUUCUUGUUUGUGGAUGUGGGUGUCUGAAUCUAACAAAGUUGUGAUUCCUUUCAUUGUGAAAUAAGGAAGUCAGUAUGGGUUUUCCUCAAAAUCUGGCCACUUCCUGAUCGAAUUGGACUUUGAGCCAAGGUACUUAAAUCAUGGAAGAGAAGCUAAAUUAAAUGACAGUGGUCGUUUGGCAAUUACCACUUAGACGAUCGGCUUCUGCAAAUUAGAAUGGCACUUACAUAUUCAUUUUUUUUUUCAAGGAAAGAACAGAAUGGCAAUUACAUAGUGCAUGUUUGUCAAUUGCCAACAUGAUGUGGCUGUGCUGUAGCAAAAUAAAGGAAUUUUGUAUGAGCUUGGUGACGUAAGGCAUGGGCUAAAUUGAAGAUAAGAGUGAUGUGGUUAAGUCCCAGCCCUUUUUAAUGUGGUGGAAUGUAGUUACAUUUUUUUUCUUUCUA
This is a non-coding RNA of Prunus avium (sweet cherry), 552 nucleotides long. NCBI's taxonomy places the organism in Eukaryota, Viridiplantae, Streptophyta, Magnoliopsida, Rosales, Rosaceae. The record is from RefSeq and is a predicted model, not a curated record.